UACGAAGGGGGCUAGCGUUGCUCGGAAUCACUGGGCGUAAAGCGCACGUAGGCGGCUUCUUAAGUCAGGGGUGAAAUCCUGGAGCUCAACUCCAGAACUGCCUUUGAUACUGAGAAGCUUGAGUCCGGGAGAGGUGAGUGGAACUGCGAGUGUAGAGGUGAAAUUCGUAGAUAUUCGCAAGAACACCAGUGGCGAAGGCGGCUCACUGGCCCGGUACUGACGCUGAGGUGCGAAAGCGUGGGGAGCGAACAGG
This 253-nucleotide ribosomal RNA is filed under the name uncultured bacterium. RNAcentral's name for it is "partial 16S ribosomal RNA". It matches the Rfam family "Bacterial small subunit ribosomal RNA", at positions 524 to 776 of the family's 1533-position model. The record is from RNAcentral.